Molecule: ribosomal RNA, 248 nt
Filed under: uncultured soil bacterium
Lineage: Bacteria
Description: partial 16S ribosomal RNA
Rfam family: Bacterial small subunit ribosomal RNA
Source: RNAcentral
AGGACGAACGCUGGCGGCGUGCUUAACACAUGCAAGUCGAGCGGUAAGGCCUUUCGGGGUACACGAGCGGCGAACGGGUGAGUAACACGUGGGUGAUCUGCCCUGCACUUCGGGAUAAGCCUGGGAAACUGGGUCUAAUACCGGAUAUGACCUCCUAUCGCAUGGUGGGUGGUGGAAAGAUUUAUCGGUGCAGGAUGGGCCCGCGGCCUAUCAGCUUGUUGGUGGGGUAAUGGCCUACCAAGGCGACG